GACGAACGCUGGCGGCGUGCCUAACACAUGCAAGUCGAGCGAACAGACCAGGAGCUUGCUCCUUUGACGUUAGCGGCGGACGGGAGCGUAACUUGUGUUUAACCUACCUAUCAGACUGGGAUAACUUCGGGAAACCGGAGCUAAUACCGGAUAAUAUUUCGAACCGCAUGGUUCGCUAGUGAAAGAUGGCAUUGCUAACACUAAUAGAUGGACCUGCGUCGUAUUACCUUGUUGGCAAGGGAACGGCUUACCAAGGCAACGAUGCGAAGCCGACCUGAGAGUGUCGUCAGACACACUGGCACUGAGGCUGAGCCCAGACUCUGACGCGAGGCAGCAGUAGCGAAUCUUACGACAUGAGGGAGUGCCGGACGGAGCAGCACGGCAGAAGUGAUGAAGGUGGACGGAUCGUAAAGCUGUGAUAUGAGGGAAGUACUAACGUGUGUGUAACUGGGCACGUCUUGACGGUACCGGGUCAGUAAGCCACGGCUAACUUCGUG
RNAcentral lists this ribosomal RNA (497 nucleotides) under uncultured bacterium. RNAcentral describes it as "partial 16S ribosomal RNA". It matches the Rfam family "Bacterial small subunit ribosomal RNA", at positions 28 to 507 of the family's 1533-position model. The record is from RNAcentral.